Molecule: ribosomal RNA, 403 nt
Filed under: Fusobacteriota bacterium
Lineage: Bacteria; Fusobacteriati; Fusobacteriota
Description: Fusobacteria bacterium partial 16S ribosomal RNA
Rfam family: Bacterial small subunit ribosomal RNA
Source: RNAcentral
UGGGGAAUAUUGCACAAUGGAGGGAACUCUGAUGCAGCGACGCCGCGUGAACGAAGAAGGCUUUCGAGUCGUAAAGUUCUUUUAUAUGGGAAGAUAAUGACGGUACCAUAAGAAAAAGCCCCGGCUAACUACGUGCCAGCAGCAGCGGUAAUACGAAGGGGGCUAGCGUUGUCCGGAAUCACUGGGCGUAAAGGGUUCGCAGGCGGUAACGAAAGUAAGGUGUAAAAGGCAGUAGCUUAACUACUGUAAGCAUUUGAAACUGCAUAUCUUGAGAAGAGUAGAGGUAAGGGGAAUUUUUAGUGUAGCGGUGAAAUGCGUAGAGAUUAAAAAGAAUACCGGUGGCGAAGGCGACUUACUGGGCUAAUUCUGACGCUGAGGAACGAAAGCGUGGGUAGCAAACAGG